This 332-nucleotide ribosomal RNA is filed under the name uncultured eukaryote. Its description in RNAcentral is "partial 18S ribosomal RNA". It matches the Rfam family "Eukaryotic small subunit ribosomal RNA", at positions 592 to 976 of the family's 1831-position model. The record is from RNAcentral.
CAAUAGCGUAUAUUAAAGUUGCUGCAGUUAAAAAGCUCGUAGUUGAAUUUCGGGUCCCCGCGCUCGGCGCUUCAUUGUGCCGUCGUGGUGUCCCUCCUCGCCGUAAGGCGUCCUUUACUGUGAAAAAAUUAGAGUGUUCAAAGCAGGCAAUCGCUUGAAUACAUUAGCAUGGAAUAAUAAGAUAGGAUCUUGUCUAUUUUGUUGGUUGCGGACAACGAUAAUGAUUAAUAGGGAUAGUUGGGGGUGUCCGUAUUGAGCUGUCAGAGGUGAAAUUCUUGGAUUUGCUCAAGACGAACUACUGCGAAAGCAUUCACCAAGGAUGUUUUCAUUAA